Molecule: ribosomal RNA, 1334 nt
Filed under: uncultured bacterium
Lineage: Bacteria
Description: bacterial SSU rRNA
Rfam family: Bacterial small subunit ribosomal RNA
Source: RNAcentral
AGAGUUUGAUCCUGGCUCAGAACGAACGCUGGCGGCAUGCCUAAUACAUGCAAGUCGAACGAUCCUUUCGGGGAUAGUGGCGCACGGGUGCGUAACGCGUGGGAAUCUGCCCUUGGGUUCGGAAUAACUUCGGGAAACUGAAGCUAAUACCGGAUGAUGACGAAAGUCCAAAGAUUUAUCGCCCAGGGAUGAGCCCGCGUAGGAUUAGCUAGUUGGUGGGGUAAAGGCCUACCAAGGCGACGAUCCUUAGCUGGUCUGAGAGGAUGAUCAGCCACACUGGGACUGAGACACGGCCCAGACUCCUACGGGAGGCAGCAGUGGGGAAUAUUGGACAAUGGGCGAAAGCCUGAUCCAGCAAUGCCGCGUGAGUGAUGAAGGCCUUAGGGUUGUAAAGCUCUUUUACCCGGGAUGAUAAUGACAGUACCGGGAGAAUAAGCUCCGGCUAACUCCGUGCCAGCAGCCGCGGUAAUACGGAGGGGGCUAGCGUUGUUCGGAUUUACUGGGCGUAAAGCGUACGUAGGCGGUUACUCAAGUCAGAGGUGAAAGCCCGGAGCUCAACUCCGGAACUGCCUUUGAAACUAGGUAACUAGAAUCUUGGAGAGGUCAGUGGAAUUCCGAGUGUAGAGGUGAAAUUCGUAGAUAUUCGGAAGAACACCAGUGGCGAAGGCGACUGACUGGACGACUGUUGACGCUGAAGCACGAAAGCGUGGGGAGCAAAUAGGAUUAGAUACCCUAGUAGUCCACGCCGUAAACGAUGAAUACUAAGUGUUGGAGAAAUUCAGUGCUGCAGUUAACGCAAUAAGUAUUCCGCCUGGGGAGUAUGCACGCAAGUGUGAAACUCAAAGGAAUUGACGGGACCCCGCACAAGCGGUGGAUUAUGUUGUUUAAUUCGACGCAACGCGAAGAACCUUACCAGGCCUUGACAUACUCAGCAAAACCCUAGAGAUAGGGUGGAGGUUAUCUGGGAUACAGGUGGUGCAUGGUUGUCGUCAGCUCGUGUCGUGAGAUGUUGGGUUAAGUCCCGCAACGAGCGCAACCCUUGUCUUUAGUUACCAUCAUUCAGUUGGGGACUCUAGAGAGACUGCCGGUGAUAAACCGGAGGAAGGUGGGGAUGACGUCAAAUCAUCAUGCCCCUUAUGGCCUGGGCUACAAACGUAAUACAAUGGCGUAUACAAAGGGAUGCGAAAGGGUGACCUGGAGCAAAACUCACAAAGUACGUCUCAGUUCAGAUUGGAGUCUGCAACUCGACUCCAUGAAGGCGGAAUCGCUAGUAAUCGCGGAUCAGAAUGUCGCGGUGAAUACGUUCUCGGGGUUUGUACACACCGCCCGUCAAA